AUUUAUUUAGUAUAAAAAGUAUACCUGACUUCCAAUCAAGAGGCCUGAAUACCUGAUUCAGAAUAAAUA
This 69-nucleotide transfer RNA is filed under the name Claassenia magna. RNAcentral describes it as "tRNA-Gly". It matches the Rfam family "tRNA". From Rfam's summary of the family: Transfer RNA (tRNA) molecules are approximately 80 nucleotides in length. Lineage: Eukaryota; Metazoa; Arthropoda; Insecta; Plecoptera; Perlidae. The record is from RNAcentral.